RNAcentral lists this long non-coding RNA (203 nucleotides) under Mytilus galloprovincialis (Mediterranean mussel). Lineage: Eukaryota; Metazoa; Mollusca; Bivalvia; Mytilida; Mytilidae. The record is from RNAcentral.
CGCCCCACUGCCUUAAUCACUCUGGUCAGCUCUUUAUAAAAUUGCAUAUCACAGCUUUGUGAAGUGAAACACGUUGGGCCAUCUUAAUAACUUUGACACCCACGAAUCAGCCAUUUCAUGAUGUUUGAACCAACGUUGAUAAGUUUGACCCGAACUUAUCAAGUCAUCUUCCAGUUUCUGGUGAAACAACACUUCCAAAAGAC